GACGAACGCUGGCGGCGUGCUUAACACAUGCAAGUCGAACGGUAAGGCCCUUCGGGGUACACGAGUGGCGAACGGGUGAGUAACACGUGGGUGGUCUGACCUGCACUUCGGGAUAAGCCUGGGCUACUGGGUCUAAUACCGGAUAGGACCACGUGCUUCACGGUGUGUGGUGGAAAGCUUUGGCGGUGUGGGAUGGGCCCGCGGCCUAGCAGCUGGUUGGUGGGGUAAUGGCCUACCAAGGCGACGACGGGUUGCCGGCCUGAGAGGGUGACCGGCCACACUGGGACUGAGAUACGGCCCAGACUCCUACGGGAGGCAGCAGUGGGGAAUAUUGCACAAUGGGCGCAAGCCUGAUGCAGCGACGCCGCGUGAGGGAUGACGGCCUUCGAGUUGUAAACCUCUUUCAGUGGGGACGAAGCGCAAGUGACGGUACCUACAGAAGAAGGACCGGCCAACUACGUGCCAGCAGCCGCCGUAA
RNAcentral lists this ribosomal RNA (478 nucleotides) under uncultured bacterium. Its description in RNAcentral is "partial 16S ribosomal RNA". It matches the Rfam family "Bacterial small subunit ribosomal RNA", at positions 28 to 523 of the family's 1533-position model. The record is from RNAcentral.